UUCUUUCAGGGAAACUUACAUGGAUUUAGUAGACCAAGACAGAUGCUAUAAUGUUGUUUCCAACACAAUUACACUACUGGUAUAUGGCUACUUAAUUGGUGCUAGGAUGGGUACUCUUUGGCCCAAAUUUUUUGUCUCUAGAACCCACUGCUAACUCAGGCACAAUUCUUGCUUGACUUUAGACCACAUGGAUGAGGCUAAC
Non-coding RNA from Pelobates cultripes (western spadefoot toad), 202 nucleotides. The record is from the annotation of a GenBank genome assembly. Lineage: Eukaryota; Metazoa; Chordata; Amphibia; Anura; Pelobatidae.